Molecule: ribosomal RNA, 994 nt
Filed under: Candidatus Tremblayella princeps
Lineage: Bacteria; Pseudomonadati; Pseudomonadota; Betaproteobacteria
Description: bacterial LSU rRNA
Rfam family: Bacterial large subunit ribosomal RNA
Source: RNAcentral
UAAACGGCGGCCGUAACUAUAACGGUCCUAAGGUAGCGAAAUUCCUUGUCGGGUAAGUUCCGACCUGCACGAAUGGCGUAACGAUGGCUACACUGUCUCCUCCCGAGGCCCAGCGAAAUUGAAGUGGUUGUGAUGAUGCAAUCUACCCACGGCUAGACGGAAAGACCCCGUGAACCUUUACUGCAGCUUUGUACUGAGCUUUGAGGCUGGGCGCGUAGGAUAUGUGGGAGACUAUGAAGCAGGGCAACAGCCCUGCCGAGUCGCAGGUGAAAUACCACUCACCUCGCCUCAACCCUCUAACCAGCGCCAUUACCUGGCGCUGGGACAGUGCAUGGUAGGCAGUUUGACUGGGGCGGUCUCCUCCCAAAGCGUAACGGAGGAGCACAAAGGUACGCUAAGCACGUAUGGAAAGCGUGCCGAAAGUGCAAUGGCAUAAGCGUGCUUGACUGCGAGACAAACGUGUCGAGCAGAUGCGAAAGCAGGUCAUAGUGAUCCGGUGGUUCUGUAUGGAAGGGCCAUCGCUCAACGGAUAAAAGGUACUCCGGGGAUAACAGGCUUAUACCGCUCGAGAGUUCUUAUCGACAGCGGUGUUUGGCACCUCGAUGUCGGCUCAUCUCGUCCUGGGGCUGAAGUAGGUCCCAAGGGUAUGGCUGUUCGCCAUUUAAAGAGGUACGUGAGCUGGGUUUAAAACGUCGUGAGACAGUUUGGUCCCUAUCUACCGUGGGCGCAGGAUACCUGAGGGGAGCUGCUCCUAGUACGAGAGGACCGGAGUGGACAAACCUCUAGUGUGCCGGUUGUCAUUUCAAUGGCAUCGCCGGGUAGCCACGUUUGGCAGGGAUAACUGCUGAAGGCAUAUAAGCAGGAAGCCUACCCUAAGAUUAGGUAUCCCAUAAUUGAAGGGCCGUUCAAGACAAGAACGUUGAUAGGCUGGGUGUGUAAGCGUAGCGAUACGUUGAGCUGACCAGUACUAAUUGCGCCCGUUAGACUUAAUCCU